This 3842-nucleotide long non-coding RNA is filed under the name Brachypodium distachyon (stiff brome). RNAcentral's name for it is "long non-coding RNA (BDIS_LNC004456)". The record is from RNAcentral. Lineage: Eukaryota; Viridiplantae; Streptophyta; Magnoliopsida; Poales; Poaceae.
CUACAUCCUCCAGGCCCCUGUCUUCCCCUCGCCAAGCCUAGCCAGACGCGGCCGGCGGCCCCCGCGGCUCUAGGUCGCCGGUCGCUUGGCCCUGCGCUCGCCGUCCGGCGGUCCGGCCUCCCUGCCCCGGUGCUCCUUCGACUCGGCGACUCCCUCCACUUCCAGUACCCAAUCGGUAAUGCCCACUGUCCUCUCACUCUGCUUGCUCCUCUGCGGCUCUGCCCACUCUUCUCUCCCCGAAAUCUCUGUUCUUUAGUUUAGAGCUACGUAGUUGAUUAGUGUAAAAAAGCCGAAUUAAUCUGUCAUGAGUUGAGUACAAAUCAAAUGAAUAUGUCAUGAAUUGAUAUUCCCCUUCAAUAAUCUGCUGGUCCAAUUUAAUUUUGUACAAAUCAAAUGAAUAUGUGAUUAAUUGAAUAUCUUGAAGAUUUAAACAUGGGAGCAUCUGAUCAAUCAACCCUUUCAUUUGGUAUGUUGUCUUUUGCAAUGCAUUACCUUAGUAGUUGAGCGGUUGGAUAUUGUGUCCAAACUAUUAGCAAUUAUCUUGGAAUUUUUUUGGCCCGAGACGUGAGCAUUUCCUGGCUCAGCCAUUGGGUUCAGUCGCCUUGUGUAGCAUGACCUGCUCCUAUGCAGGGAGAGGGAGUGAGCGAGGUUUGAUUAGUCCAUCGAGUCGUAACAAGACUUCCCGUCAGUUGGCGUCGAUGAUUCUCAACACUCUUUGUUGGACCGGUCCAUACUAGACUUCCCGGACUCGACCCUAGGGGAUCCCUGAACUAUGCUCCCUAGGCCCUCCCCCGAGUUUAUUCAAAUAACGGUGAAAUAACUUACAACCACCCCUUGGGGGUAUUUCUAGCCUUAUAUAUGGUCCAUGACAAUUGUCAAAUGAACAUGUAUGCCCAUUGGCGAGAGGGUAUGAUGGGAAGAAUUUCCUGAAUUUAUUUUAGUCCUAUACAAAAAAACACAUGGAUAUUAGAGUAAGUUGCAGAGUUAUAUAGUCCAGAGCAAAGCCAAGUUCUAAGAAAAAAAAUUGGAGGCAGGAACCGCCACAUUUUUCAUAUAACAGACGGAAAUCAUUAUCUAUACAUAACCAAUUAACCAAGAUGCGGUUUUAGAGUAAGAUCCAGAGUUAUAUAGUCCUGAAAAAAGCCAAGUACUAUGCAAUUUUUUUGGGGGGCAGGAACCCGCCCCAUUUUUCAUUUAAUAGAUGGAAAAACAUCUUGAGCUAUACAUAACCAUGAUGCUCAAUGACACAUGAGACUUACAAACACACACAAGCAACUUAUAGUUCAUUUAGAUACCCCAGUUGGCUGCAGAGAAAAGAAUGUCCUCACAUUUGAAUACAAACACAUAUAGGAGCGUAAUCAAGUUCUUCGCACACAGGCAGAAUAAAAAAAAAUUAAAGCAUGCGUGAAUGGAUGAACCAAUCCUGCUGAAUUGAUGGACAGCCUUGUAAGCUUGAAAUGAAGGAAGCGCAGAUGCACUUGCCUGCUUGACCUCACUAGCACCAUAUUCCAUUAUCAUCAAUGAAGUUUGGAUGUGCUUCUAUGGCUUGCUUCACCUGAUCUGGUAGCCUGAUACCAUCACAGUACACCCUUGAACCCAUAACACAAUUUAUCCUUACAUUUAGACACCCCAGCUGGCUGGCUGCAGAGAAAAGAACCUACAUUUGAAUACAAACACAUAUAGGAGCAUAAUCAAUUUCUUCGAACACAAGCAGAAUAAACAAUAAAAUAAAGCAUACGCGAAUGGACGGACCAAUCCGGCCUGCUGAAUAGAUGGAUCACCUUGUAAGCUUGAAAUCAAGGAACCGCAGAUGCACCAUAUACAUCAAUGAAGUUUGGAUGUGCUUCUAUGGCUUGGAACACCUGAUGUGGUAGCCUGAAAUCAUCAUUGAGCACCAUUUUGUUCAAUUUUGGAAGGUUGUUGAUUCCCGAGAGAGAUUUUAUCUCAUCGAUGAGCCAGACGAUUGUUUCAAGUCUAGGAGUUUCCCCAGUUUCGAACUCGAUGUCGGUGAUGCCGCCCCCCUCAACAAGAAGGCACUUGAGAUUUUGGAACCCAUUGGUCUGGAUUAUAAGCUUGCUCUCAGAGUGUAAUUUAACGUGCCAGAGCUUGAGGCCACGUAGGUUGGGCAAAUCUGCGAGGGACUCCAUACCAUCCUGGUCCAACAAGGUGUUAUGAAGAGUUACCUUGGCAAGUUUGUGGCAGCCUCUAGCAAAGAAUGGGAGAAGACGCCCAUACAUUGUGAGCCCACUGAUGCUCAAGCUUUCAAGAAGCUUGGGUGUGUUCUUACAAUGUGCACUUAUAGCAUCGGCGUCAGGAGGAGUAGCAACCGCCUCGCUGGCAGGCAGAAGCUUGAUCUUGAUUGACAGUGACACAAGGCACUCAUUCAGAUCGCUGAUCCCUUGGAGUAAGUUGUCAAGUUGAGCUUUCCAGUCGUAAAUGACCACACCAAACACCUUCAGUUGCCAUAGCUGGCCAAUCUCUCUCAGCUCGGUAGCAUGAUGUUUCGAUGCCUGGACAUGGACAACACUUCUAGGUCCGUCAUUUUCCUGACCUUGUGAGGCAUCAUGACGGUGGAAAGUAUGUUAGCAUCACCACCAGUGUCUUUGAAGCAUGCAUUUUGACCAGCCAGCAGACGCUUCAGCUUCAGUAGCAUGAGUUGUUUUAUGGCGGAGGUGUUCAUAGGAGUCCGCCGGAUGUCCAACACCUCCGGCUGUUGCAGCCUGUUGAUCUCCUUAGGCAGCUGAGUGACAUCUGUGUUCCGUAGGCUCAGAUACUUGAGCAGGAUUAACAAGGUGCACACGUUCCUAAGCCAUCGUUGGUUGUCUCUCAGGGAUGCACAGCCUUCCAGAUCCAGGACCUUGACGAGCUUUAAUUGAGAUGAUGCAUUGGAUGGUUGCUUCAGGAAGUUGACGAUGUUGUCUGAGGGACGGAGCCGGAUGUUGCUGAGAAUGGAGAAGUGCGAGCCAAGUGCCGAGACAGGUGUCUAUCCAGAAUGUGUUCUUUCUUGGCCAUCUUGGUGAUGAAGCUGUACACCGGUGGAUGCCAUGUAAUGCUCUUGACCUUCCCUCCAGCAUCAAUGUCACUAGGACAGACAAGCCAUAGGUCGGCAUGAACAUCAAAGCAACGCUCCGCCUGACCUACUGAACUUGACCAAUCUUGUCUAGCUAUCAGUCCUUCUGCAACCCACCUACCUAUUAACCUUGUCCGGUUUAUGUUCUCGUCUUUGUGGAAGAUUGCUAGAUACAGCAAGCAGGUCUUGUAAUCCCUAGGCAAGUCGUUAUAGGCGAACUUGAUCAUCUUGUAGCAAUUAGUUUCCACGGAUCCUCCAAACACGAGGUUGUUGCUCAACUUGUCGAGUUCUUCUCUGCGCCUCAUUGGAUUGACAAACAGAGCAUGGAUGAACAUCUUUAUGCAGAACACAUCGGGCCUGCACUUCUCCAAGAUCUCAUGAAAGAUUGUGGCAUGUGCUUGUCGUCUUUCACACACUGUUUUGUAAGUUGGAGCGCUGUAUCAUGGUAGUAUUCAAUAGAAGAGUAGAUGAUAGGCUCUGUCCCAUAGCAAUACUCAUUUGCAUUUUGCUUGUAUUUUGUGGUAACUACUACUGCCAUUGAACUGCAACCCAAAUCUCGCAAGGCCCUUGCGGUCUCUUCCCAUUUGUAGCCAGAGGCGUUUUGGAGAAUGACCAGUGUCGUUUUACCCUUUAGAUGCUUUCUAACACUCCCCAUGGUUUCUUGAAUCAACAGAUGCUCUUUGAUCCUCUUGAGGACUUGUUUGAUCCGCUCCCUGCAGUACUCCGCAUCCUCGCCCGGCGAGUGGGGUGAUUCUUGCGCUGAUUUAUCUUG